Long non-coding RNA from Gambusia affinis (western mosquitofish), 1287 nucleotides. RefSeq lists it as uncharacterized. The record is from RefSeq and is a predicted model, not a curated record. Lineage: Eukaryota; Metazoa; Chordata; Actinopteri; Cyprinodontiformes; Poeciliidae. The transcript has 2 exons.
CACAGAAAAUCCUGCUGGAAAUCCUGAGAUGAAGUUUCCUGAUGUAACCGGGGGAACCUGAGGACACAGAAUAAAGAAGGACCAUGUGAAACUCAUGAAGAGGAUGGUCAGAGUCGUCCAUAGCUUUCUUGACUCUUAUGAAGAAUCCUUCUUUGCUUCAUCUCCAGAGGUUCCACAGUCAUCUCCAGAACAGAACCAGAACCAGAACCAAUCCAGCCUUCUUUAUCAGAUUGUUGAGCCUUUUGAGGUUCCUGGCUCUGAUGCUGCUGCACCAACAGAUGAUAGCAGAAGAGAUGACACUCUCAGCCGCAGACUUCAAGAUCUACAGCAAGCGGCUGCAGAUCUACAGUCGUUAUGACUUUUCUUCGGUACCGGAACCAGGCAGGAUGUCUUCCACAACAACGGAACCUCUUCUUGGGUCAGGCAAAGGUUGAAGAGAUGCUGCAGAAUCCCACAGAGGGACUCUGGGACUGAAACCAUCUGGACCUGCAGCCUCGUUCCUGUUCAGUCUCUCCGGCUGCUUCUUCACCUGACUUCUAGAUACAGAAACGUUGGAGGUGGAGGCAAAGGGAGCAGCAGCGUCUCCUGAUGUGGUUGAAGACAAACUUGUGGAAGCAGAAGAGUCCAUGACUGAGGUGGAAGAUGGAACAUCUGAGGUUCGACAGGAAAGCUGUGGGUCAGAGGAGGAUGAGAUUCUGUUUGGCUGCAGACAGGAGAGGAUGAUGAUGAUGAGCUUGUUCCUGGACUCAACCUGUUGAAGAAUGUGUUCAGCUCAUUUGCUCUGUGCAGAAACUGAUAUUGUUCAAAACAAAAGUCAUGGUAGCAUGUUUUUAUGUAAUAAUGAGUAUGUAAUGUUUGGAAUGAAGAAGAUAAUCUGAUGGAAUUACAAAAGAUCAUUGUGGCUCCCGCUCAGUGCAAAAACAUAUUUUGUUGGUUUCUGAAGAGUAAAAAUUGAACAAAUGUGUACACUUAAAGAUUAAGUUUAUAUGUCACAGUCAUCACAAUGCUAAAGAAAAGUCUCACAACAGUGUGAAAAUCAUGGUGUUUAUUUACAAGACAGGAAGCAGGAGGAAGAUAUUAACGAAUGUAAUAUUUAUUUUGCAGUGUCAGGUUAUUUCUAUGUAUUAUGAUAUAAUAAAACAUGUAUUUUUGGCCUUAUUGCAUUCUGUUUUAUAUUUGUGUGAAAUUUUAACUUGAUUUUGAAAGCAUGUAAAGUAAUCAAUCUGAUCAUAGAGUGAAAUAACAUUAAGUUGUAAGCAAAUUCAAUAAAAGCUUUUUUUGCCGCCA